GACGAACGCUGGCGGCGUGCCUAAUACAUGCAAGUAGAACGCACAGUUUAUACCGUAGCUUGCUACACCAUAGACUGUGAGUUGCGAACGGGUGAGUAACGCGUAGGUAACCUGCCUGGUAGCGGGGGAUAACUAUUGGAAACGAUAGCUAAUACCGCAUAAUAUUGAUUAUUGCAUGAUAAUUGAUUGAAAGAUGCUAUUGCAUCACUACCAGAUGGACCUGCGUUGUAUUAGCUAGUAGGUGAGGUAACGGCUCACCUAGGCGACGAUACAUAGCCGACCUGAGAGGGUGAUCGGCCACACUGGGACUGAGACACGGCCCAGACUCCUACGGGCGGCAGCAGUAGGGAAUCUUCGGCAAUGGACGAAAGUCUGACCGAGCAACGCCGCGUGAGUGAAGAAGGUUUUCGGAUCGGAAAGCUCUGUUGUAAGAGAAGAACGGGUGUGAGAGUGGAAAGUUCACACUGUGACGGUAUCUUACCAGAAAGGGACGGCUAACUACGUG
This 505-nucleotide ribosomal RNA is filed under the name uncultured bacterium. RNAcentral describes it as "partial 16S ribosomal RNA". It matches the Rfam family "Bacterial small subunit ribosomal RNA", at positions 28 to 507 of the family's 1533-position model. The record is from RNAcentral.